Molecule: ribosomal RNA, 276 nt
Filed under: uncultured Syntrophorhabdus sp.
Lineage: Bacteria; Pseudomonadati; Thermodesulfobacteriota; Syntrophorhabdia; Syntrophorhabdales; Syntrophorhabdaceae
Description: partial 16S ribosomal RNA
Rfam family: Bacterial small subunit ribosomal RNA
Source: RNAcentral
ACCCUUAGUUGCCAUCAUUAAGUUUGGGGCACCCUAAGGGAACUGCCGCAGUUAAUGCGGAGGAAGGUGGGGAUGACGUCAAGUCCUCAUGGCCCUUAUAUCCAGGGCUACACACGUGCUGCAAUGGGCGGUACAAAGGGUCGCGAGCCUGUAAGGGGGAGCUAACCCAGAAAACCGUUCUCAGUUCGGAUUGGAGUCUGCAACCCGACUCCAUGAAGUUGGAAUCGCUAGUAAUCGCGGAUCAGAACGCCGCGGUCGAAUACGUUCCCGGGCCUU